GAUGAACGCUAGCUACAGGCUUAACACAUGCAAGUCGCGGGGCAGCAUGGGGGUUGCUUGCAAUCCCCGAUGGCGACCGGCGCACGGGUGAGUAACGCGUAUCCAACCUGCCCUUCACCACGGGAUAGCCCGGCGAAAGUCGGACUAAUACCGUAUGUUGUCCAUUGACGGCAUCCGAUUUGGACGAAAGGUGUGGCGGUGAAGGAUGGGGAUGCGUCCGAUUAGCUGGACGGCGGGGUGACGGCCCACCGUGGCGACGAUCGGUAGGGGUUCUGAGAGGAAGGUCCCCCACACUGGAACUGAGACACGGUCCAGACUCCUACGGGAGGCAGCAGUGAGGAAUAUUGGUCAAUGGGCGUAAGCCUGAACCAGCCAAGUAGCGUGCAGGAGGACGGCCCUAUGGGUUGUAAACUGCUUUUAUGCGGGGAUAAAGUGGCCCACGUGUGGGUUUUUGCAGGUACCGCAUGAAUAAGGACCGGCUAAUUCCGUG
This 490-nucleotide ribosomal RNA is filed under the name uncultured bacterium. RNAcentral's name for it is "partial 16S ribosomal RNA". It matches the Rfam family "Bacterial small subunit ribosomal RNA", at positions 28 to 507 of the family's 1533-position model. The record is from RNAcentral.